This 398-nucleotide ribosomal RNA is filed under the name uncultured bacterium. Its description in RNAcentral is "partial 16S ribosomal RNA". It matches the Rfam family "Bacterial small subunit ribosomal RNA", at positions 523 to 918 of the family's 1533-position model. The record is from RNAcentral.
AUACGUAGGGUGCGAGCGUUGUCCGGAAUUACUGGGCGUAAAGAGCUCGUAGGUGGUUUGUCGCGUCGUCUGUGAAAUUCCGGGGCUUAACUCCGGGCGUGCAGGCGAUACGGGCAUAACUUGAGUACUGUAGGGGAGACUGGAAUUCCUGGUGUAGCGGUGAAAUGCGCAGAUAUCAGGAGGAACACCGGUGGCGAAGGCGGGUCUCGGGGCAGUAACUGACGCUGAGGAGCGAAAGCAUGGGUAGCGAACAGGAUUAGAUACCCUGGUAGUCCAUGCCGUAAACGGUGGGCGCUAGGUGUAGGGGUCUUCCACGACUUCUGUGCCGUAGCUAACGCAUUAAGCGCCCCGCCUGGGGAGUACGGCCGCAAGGCUAAAACUCAAAUGAAUUGGCGGGG